CAUUACUGAGUUUUAAACUCCCAAACCAUUGUGAACUUACCACUGUUGCCUCGGCGGCAGUCCUCUGUAACAGGAGGCGGCCGCCGGUGGACUACUAAACUCUUGUUAAUUUUUGUCAAUUCUGAAUUAAAAACUUAAUAAGUUAAAACUUUCAACAACGGAUCUCUUGGUUCUGGCAUCGAUGAAGAACGCAGCGAAAUGCGAUAAGUAAUGUGAAUUGCAGAAUUCAGUGAAUCAUCGAAUCUUUGAACGCACAUUGCGCCCAUUAGUAUUCUAGUGGGCAUGCCUGUUCGAGCGUCAUUUCAACCCUUAAGCUUAGCUUAGUAUUGGGAAUCUGCCUAAACCGCAGUUCCUUAAAUCUAGUUGGCAGAGCACAUCUGUACUCUGAGCGUAGUAAUUCAUUAUCUCGCUUUCUGAAGACAGUUGUACGAUCGCCAUAAACCUAUUUAUUUUUUAAUGGUUGNCCUCGGAUCAGGUAGGAAUACCC
RNAcentral lists this ribosomal RNA (487 nucleotides) under uncultured Ascomycota. Its description in RNAcentral is "eukaryotic LSU rRNA". The stretch from base 147 to 300 matches the Rfam family "5.8S ribosomal RNA". The record is from RNAcentral. Lineage: Eukaryota; Fungi; Ascomycota.